CGUUUUUUUUGUUCUUCUAUGCAAUUUUCUUAACACUUUCAAUUAUAUUUUAUUAUAACGCAACACUCUACGGUCUACGGAACGCGCUCUGGCAUCAGCAAUUAACAUCGAUUUUAUAAAAUUGACAAUGAGUCUUUCAAAUAAAUAUAAUGCUCAAUAAUGAACGGGUAAAAAAUAUAUUGUUCCGUGCCGUCGAGGAAAUCCACAACGAACAACAAAUACGUAGGUACUUACCAAAACCUUAUUAUGGCUGUUUGGCCGAUUUACACGAAAUGAACGACCAAUGCAAUUUUUUCACCAAAAUUAAGUGUGGCCACACUUAAAAAAAUUGACUUUGUGCGUUUGGGUUAUUA
Cinara cedri is the source of this 353-nucleotide non-coding RNA. The record is from the annotation of a GenBank genome assembly. Lineage: Eukaryota; Metazoa; Arthropoda; Insecta; Hemiptera; Aphididae.